This is a small nucleolar RNA of Psammomys obesus (fat sand rat), 123 nucleotides long. RefSeq annotates it as small nucleolar RNA SNORA72. The record is from RefSeq and is a predicted model, not a curated record. The transcript has a single exon. Lineage: Eukaryota; Metazoa; Chordata; Mammalia; Rodentia; Muridae.
CUCUUAAAAUAGUACUGGUCCUGUAGCAAUCAGGAUGGAUGGAACAUCAACCAGAGCAGGACCACACAUGUGCUCUGACCAGGUUCUCUCCCCAGGUCUGGUUUUCAAAUGCUGGUGAUAAGC